This 2299-nucleotide long non-coding RNA is filed under the name Mus musculus (house mouse). Its description in RNAcentral is "long non-coding RNA chr5:64972649-64974948". The record is from RNAcentral. Lineage: Eukaryota; Metazoa; Chordata; Mammalia; Rodentia; Muridae.
AUACUCAUGCCAAAGGCAUGGUCAAGAUUCUCCCUUGCUCUAGUUCAGGGCGUUGUUUAUUAUGCUGUUUUGCAUAGUUCUUUCUCUAGUUUUCUUUCUCUUUAAUUUAAUAUUUUUUCAGUGCUAGGAAUCAGAUCCAGUGCCUUGUGCAUGUUAGGCAAGCACUCUCCCACUGAGCCACAUACCAUCCCUUGAUGACUUUUUAAUGGUUCUGUUCUAGCGCUUCAUACAUUUCUCAUCUCUGAAAUGUAGUCCCCAUGCCUCCUGCACUUACUUGGGGUGCCAUGAUACAGCCGCCCCAAUGGUUCUUGGGGCAUUUUAGAUGAUGAAUAAAUUUGCUCAUGAAAAACUAACUUAUUCCCAGCCCACAAUGGCUUCAUUAUGCACCCCCUUCCUCUCCUUGGAGUUUUCUGAAGCAGCUUCCUUGUUUCUGUGGGUCAAAGCCACCGACAUGGCUGCAGAGAUCACUGUUCCAACCCCAAAUCGGAAGAGACUUCCAACCAUGCAGAUUGGAUGAGCAGCACCGACCGAGGACACAUGGUGCUCACUUGAGUUCCCAUGCCCUGCCCUAGUCCCUGCUCAGAAAUGGCUGUCCAUUUAGAACACAGUGUCUGGUGGUGGCAGACAAAAAGUCAGUCUUAAAACUAAUGACACAUUCCCCAUCACAGUAUCAUCCAGAACCAGUGAAGGUCUGUCAGGACAGACAGACAGACAGAGGACUUGGGAUGUAGCUCAGUUGGCAGAGUGCUUGCUUAGUGUGCCUGAAGCCCCAGUUUCAUCCACAGCAGGGCAUAAAAUAGUUGUGUUGGUGAAUGUCUGUAAUCUUAACACUCCAGAGGUGACCACAAAAGAAUCAAAGGUGCAGGGUCAUCCUUGGCUAUAUAGAAGGCCAGCCUAGGCUAAAUGACAUCUGAUCUUUUUUUUAAAAAAAAAAGCAUAAAAGAAAGAAAAGGGAAAAAAUAUUGUUUUGGUCUUUGUUUUGGUAGGUAAUAGAGAAAAAUCAGACCUGUGACAGAAAACAGAAAAGAUUAAAGUAAUUAAGUGAAUACAGAUUAGGAAUAUAAUUAGAAGUUAAAACAGGGCUCAUCCCCAUAAUUAUUUUGGCCUUUCUGCAGUGUGGGCAUUCUGUAAAUUCAUUUUAACAACCUCCACUGAACACCUCGCGGAUGCUUCUUUGUUUCUGAAGGGCUGGGUUUUGCUGUUGGUUGAACACAGCACCGACACCAAGAGGAGACCUUUAACUGCAGCAGUCUUUCUACACGUUAGGUGAACUAACUGAAGGCCAUUUGGCCACCAGAAGUAGCUGAGGGCUGGGGAUCCUGCCCUCUGCUGCUCUCCCACACAAACUGUAUCCCCACGAGUCUCCCUGGGUUUGUGCGGAAUACGUACAUGCACACCAGCAGUCAGGCUUGGUUACAGCCUGUCCCUGGAAGCCUGUGGUCCUUGCUCAUUGUUCUUUUAGGCCUGUAUUCUAGAGCCAGGGCUGAGCCAGUGCCCAGCUAGCUUCAGGCUUUAGAAUUCUGCAGUCAGCAAGAAGCUAUAGAAAAGACCAACCCCAAAGGACCAUGUUGGGCUUGAUACAAUCUUAGACCCAUAUAUAGAAGGACAGAGGACACCAGAGCAUUGUUUCUAAUGGGAGCACAUGUCUUAAGGACUUGCCAUGCCAAUUUCUAACCAGGCUUAUGCAAUUUGCCAUACCCUUAAAGUCCCUAAAACAUCAAUCUAAGAGGAUGAAGGCUGAGGUCUCUCCAAGGGUAGACACCCAGUGAUAAACCAUGACGCUUGCUAAAGAAAUCUGAGAUUGUGUGCCUGAGCUGAGCAACAUAGAUAUUAGCCAAUCAUCGUAGGAUACACAUUAAAAUUUAUUAACAUAGGUCAUAUGGCACAUGCCACAGGACAUUAGAAUGCCUGUGAGUGUUACAAUAAUGGAAGCAUCCAUUGUGGUUUUCAUUUGCCCACAAAUGUUUAUCAUGUCCCUGCUAACAGAAAAGUCAAAUUGCAGUACAUGGGGAUAUAUGUCUUUAAUCCCAGCGCACAGGAGGCAGCAGCAGGCAGAUCUCUGUGAGUUUGAGGCUAGCCUGUUUUACAGAGGAAGCUCUAGGCCAGUCUACAUAUUAAGACCUGGUCUCAAAAAGAAAACAAAAAAACAAGCUAAAGAAAAUGGAGUUGAUUGGAGCUUCUUAGUCAUCCAGAUCAAUAAUAAGGAUGAUCAGAUUAAUUUACAAAGAAAUAAAAGUAUUAGGUAAAGCCUAUGACUAGCUGUAGUUGACAAAACCAAAAUGAAACAAACAAACAAACC